GGGCUGCAGUAUUUUGACUGUACAAAGGUAGCAUAAUCAUUAGUCAUUUAAUUGGUGACUUGUAUGAAAGAUUGGAUGAAAUAUAAACUGUCUCUUAAUUAAAUUAUAGAAUUUAAUUUUUUAAUUAAAAAGUUAAAAUAAAUUAAAAAGACGAGAAGACCCUAUAGAGUUUUAUAUUUAAAUUAAUUAAGAUUAUUUAUAUAUUUAUUAAUUAAAAUUAUCUUAAAUAUUUUGUUGGGGUGACAAAAAAAUAUAAUUAACUUUUUUUAUAGUUUUACAUAUAUAGGUGAAUUAUUGAUCCAAUAAUAUUGAUUAUAAGAAAAAAUUACCUUAGGGAUAACAGCGUAAUUUUUUUUUUUAGUUCAAAUAAAAAGAAGAGUUUGCGACCUCGAUGUUGGAUUAAGAUAAAAUUUAAAUG
Molecule: ribosomal RNA, 418 nt
Filed under: Spodoptera eridania (southern armyworm)
Lineage: Eukaryota; Metazoa; Arthropoda; Insecta; Lepidoptera; Noctuidae
Description: partial 16S ribosomal RNA
Source: RNAcentral